RNAcentral lists this transfer RNA (71 nucleotides) under Gemmatimonadales bacterium. Its description in RNAcentral is "tRNA-Cys". It matches the Rfam family "tRNA". Rfam says of the family: Transfer RNA (tRNA) molecules are approximately 80 nucleotides in length. Their secondary structure includes four short double-helical elements and three loops (D, anti-codon, and T loops). Further hydrogen bonds mediate the characteristic L-shaped molecular structure. tRNAs have two regions of fundamental functional importance: the anti-codon, which is responsible for specific mRNA codon recognition, and the 3' end, to which the tRNAs corresponding amino acid is attached (by aminoacyl-tRNA synthetases). tRNAs cope with the degeneracy of the genetic code in two manners: having more than one tRNA (with a specific anti-codon) for a particular amino acid; and 'wobble' base-pairing, i.e. permitting non-standard base-pairing at the 3rd anti-codon position. Lineage: Bacteria; Pseudomonadati; Gemmatimonadota; Gemmatimonadia; Gemmatimonadales. The record is from RNAcentral.
GGCGCCGUGGCCAAGUGGUAAGGCAGAGGACUGCAAAUCCUCGAUCCCCGGUUCGAAUCCGGGCGGCGCCU